Molecule: small nuclear RNA, 168 nt
Filed under: Gongylonema pulchrum
Lineage: Eukaryota; Metazoa; Nematoda; Chromadorea; Rhabditida; Gongylonematidae
Description: U1 spliceosomal RNA
Rfam family: U1 spliceosomal RNA
About the family: U1 is a small nuclear RNA (snRNA) component of the spliceosome (involved in pre-mRNA splicing). Its 5' end forms complementary base pairs with the 5' splice junction, thus defining the 5' donor site of an intron. There are significant differences in sequence and secondary structure between metazoan and yeast U1 snRNAs, the latter being much longer (568 nucleotides as compared to 164 nucleotides in human).
Source: Rfam by way of RNAcentral
AAACUUACUUGGCUGGGAGUGAACUCGCGAUCAUGAAGGCGAGUACUCCACGGUGAGGUCUAACCCAUUGCACUUGCGGGACUUGACUGACCCGUGUGGCGACUCCGAGUUGGAGCCUGCCAACAGCGUAAUUUUUGCGUUUGGGGACGGUCAGCAAACCGCUCCCCG